This 490-nucleotide ribosomal RNA is filed under the name uncultured bacterium. RNAcentral describes it as "bacterial SSU rRNA". It matches the Rfam family "Bacterial small subunit ribosomal RNA", at positions 34 to 518 of the family's 1533-position model. The record is from RNAcentral.
CGCUAGCGACAGGCCUAACACAUGCAAGUCGAGGGGCAGCACAAGGAGCAAUCUGAGGUGGCGACCGGCGCACGGGUGAGUAACACGUAUGCAACCUGCCUGUAAGCGGGGAAUAACCCGUUGAAAGACGGACUAAUACCGCAUAAUACUAAAUUACUGCAUGGUAAUUUAUUUAAACAUUUAUGGCUUACAGAUGGGCAUGCGCAUGAUUAGCUAGUUGGAGAGGUAACGGCUCCCCAAGGCAACGAUCAUUAGGGGUUCUGAGAGGAAGGUCCCCCCACACUGGUACUGAGACACGGACCAGACUCCUACGGGAGGCAGCAGUGAGGAAUAUUGGUCAAUGGACGAGAGUCUGAACCAGCCAAGUCGCGUGCAGGAAGAAUGUCCUAUGGAUUGUAAACUGCUUUUGCAGGGGAAUAAAGUGCAUCACGUGUGAUGUUUUGUAUGUACUCUGCGAAUAAGGGUCGGCUAACUCCGUGCCAGCCGCCGC